Non-coding RNA from Streptococcus pneumoniae SP6-BS73, 89 nucleotides. The record is from Rfam. NCBI's taxonomy places the organism in Bacteria, Bacillati, Bacillota, Bacilli, Lactobacillales, Streptococcaceae.
GGACGGAACUCUGGAGAGACCGUAAAGGCACCGAAGGGGCAAGGCAGGCAACUGCUCAAACUCUCAGGUAAAAGGACAGAGCUAGGAUA